CUGGGAUCCCAGCAGGAAUCCCUACGUGAGCAUUUUUGAGCCCAGUGCAGGUCUGGCCUGGAGAUCGUACCACCCGAGGAAUUCUCAAAAGUUGAAGAGAGGGCUCUGCCUUCUUCCCCCUGGUCCUGCACCUGCCCCUGCUAUGACAUCACUAACGUCUACUCCUGGUCUCCUGAGCAGCCCACAUCUGCUUGUUUGACCAGCCUCAGCCACCGAGGGGUUGAGGGCCCCAGUUCCUGCCACCUACUGUCAUCUGCUCGUGUGCAUGGAGGGGAGAGGCCCAGCAGCCCCUCACUCUGGGCUUCACUAGAACUGGGGCAGAGGCAGAAGUGGGGCACCUCCUGCUGGCCCCCCACUUCUUCCCCUGGGCCCAGGCAUGGAGGUGCCUCUCAGGAUGGAGACCACACUGUGGGAGCUGGCAGUGCGGGAACAGCCAGAUCUCAGGUCCUGGUUCUACUCCUGGGUGUACCCAGAACCUCCACAUCUCUCUCCUCACAGAUCCAGGACCUGCCGGGUUGUGUUGGAAGCUUCCACCAUGAGAUUUCGAAGGUUCUACUGCUUCUGUAUGAAAAGAGAGCCCAAGAAGGGACAGGCGAGCAGGCACUGGCCUGUGAGAUCCUCAUUCUCCUGCCUCAGCUAAGAAACGCUCCACCCACCAAUCCCUCUCCCUCCUCCUGUGUCCCCUUCCUUCUCUACCUUUCCUGGGAGGAUGCUGCAAGUGUCAGGCCUGGCCCCCAGGCAGGCUCUCAGCAGCUGGGAGCUCCCAUUGUGUAUGACAAAAACUUUGAGUGCCCACCGAGGGGAUUCCCGGCAGGAGGGAUCAGCCCCGCCUCUGGCAAGUGGAAUCUGGGCUGGGGGCCCACAGCAUCCAUGCCCCACCCCACCUGCCCAGCCAGGUCUGGCGGUGGCCCACUGGGCAGCUCCAUCCUGGGAAGAAGGUGGCUGUGCUCUCCUGAUCCACAAAGGCGCGUAGCCCUUUGGAGGUGAUUGAGGAUGCCGAUGACUAAUUGUGUCAGCAGUUGGUCUCAACUCGAGCCUUGUCCCGAUUAAAAUGGAAAUG
Molecule: long non-coding RNA, 1060 nt
Filed under: Felis catus (domestic cat)
Lineage: Eukaryota; Metazoa; Chordata; Mammalia; Carnivora; Felidae
Description: lncRNA (ENSFCAG00000042621.2)
Source: RNAcentral